CAGCAGCCGCGGUAAUACCGGCGGCCCGAGUGGCGGCCACUAUUAUUGGGCCUAAAGCGUCCGUAGCCGGGCUGGUAAGUCCUCCGGGAAAUCUGGUCGCUUAACGAUCAGACUUCCGGAGGAUACUGCUGGCCUAGGGACCGGGAGAGGCCGAGGGUAUUCCCGGGGUAGGGGUGAAAUCCUGUAAUCCCGGGAGGACCACCUGUGGCGAAGGCGCUCGGCUGGAACGGGUCCGACGGGGAGGGACGAAGGCCAGGGGAGCGAACCGGAUUAGAUACCCGGGUAGUCCCGGCGGUAAACGAUGCGGGCUAGCUGUUGGGUGGGCUUAGAGCCCACCCAGUGGCGCAGGGAAGCCGUUAAGCCCGCCGCCUGGGGAGUACGGCCGCAAGGCUGAAACUUAAAGGAAUUGGCGGG
Molecule: ribosomal RNA, 414 nt
Filed under: uncultured microorganism
Description: bacterial SSU rRNA
Rfam family: Archaeal small subunit ribosomal RNA
Source: RNAcentral